This 555-nucleotide ribosomal RNA is filed under the name Triticum aestivum (bread wheat). RNAcentral describes it as "partial small subunit ribosomal RNA". The record is from RNAcentral. Lineage: Eukaryota; Viridiplantae; Streptophyta; Magnoliopsida; Poales; Poaceae.
AUGGCGGAAUGCUUCAAUAGGGUGCUCAAAGGUGCACGUGGAUUACCCGUGACGGCAAUAGUUCAAUACACAUUUGACAAGAUGAAUGCGUACUUUGUAAAGUACUCGAUGGAAACCGAUGCACAAAUAGCGGGUGAGAACCCACGGAAGUACAAGUACAAGUUCCCACCCAAAGUUGAUGAAUGGUUGGUAUUUCAAUCACGGAAGGCGGACUCAAAAGAAGCUAUAUUAUAUGACAACGGAGAGUGGAAGUACGAAGUGAAAGAGCCAGGAGGAACCACAAACGAUGGCCGGCAACAUGGAGGUCGGGCUUUCAAGGUGUCGUUAACACAAUGUGAUUGCACUUGCGGGAGGCCGUUGUUGCUUCAUCUCCCAUGCUCACACUUGUAUACCGCCGGUCGCGUUAGGAAUGUGGACAUCAAUCACCCAUGCACCGUGAGGGAGUCUGAGUUCUCAAUCAUGACGGUCAAGAAAACAUGGGCUCCCCGCUUUCACCCGUACUUUGACCAAUCGCAAUGGCCGGAGUAUCAUGGAGUUCAACUAUGGCCGGAUCCG